GGGUUGUGAGGUUAAGCGACUAAGCGUACACGGUGGAUGCCCUGGCAGUCAGAGGCGAUGAAGGACGUGCUAAUCUGCGAUAAGCGUCGGUAAGGUGAUAUGAACCGUUAUAACCGGCGAUUUCCGAAUGGGGAAACCCAGUGUGAUUCGUCACACUAUCAUUAACUGAAUCCAUAGGUUAAUGAGGCGAACCGGGGGAACUGAAACAUCUAAGUACCCCGAGGAAAAGAAAUCAACCGAGAUUCCCCCAGUAGCGGCGAGCGAACGGGGAGCAGCCCAGAGCCUGAAUCAGUGUGUGUGUUAGUGGAAGCGUCUGGAAAGGCGCGCGAUACAGGGUGACAGCCCCGUACACAAAAAUGCACAUGCUGUGAGCUCGAUGAGUAGGGCGGGACACGUGGUAUCCUGUCUGAAUAUGGGGGGACCAUCCUCCAAGGCUAAAUACUCCUGACUGACCGAUAGUGAACCAGUACCGUGAGGGAAAGGCGAAAAGAACCCCGGCGAGGGGAGUGAAAAAGAACCUGAAACCGUGUACGUACAAGCAGUGGGAGCACGCUUAGGCGUGUGACUGCGUACCUUUUGUAUAAUGGGUCAGCGACUUAUAUUCUGUAGCAAGGUUAACCGAAUAGGGGAGCCGAAGGGAAACCGAGUCUUAACUGGGCGUUAAGUUGCAGGGUAUAGACCCGAAACCCGGUGAUCUAGCCAUGGGCAGGUUGAAGGUUGGGUAACACUAACUGGAGGACCGAACCGACUAAUGUUGAAAAAUUAGCGGAUGACUUGUGGCUGGGGGUGAAAGGCCAAUCAAACCGGGAGAUAGCUGGUUCUCCCCGAAAGCUAUUUAGGUAGCGCCUCGUGAAUUCAUCUCCGGGGGUAGAGCACUGUUUCGGCAAGGGGGUCAUCCCGACUUACCAACCCGAUGCAAACUGCGAAUACCGGAGAAUGUUAUCACGGGAGACACACGGCGGGUGCUAACGUCCGUCGUGAAGAGGGAAACAACCCAGACCGCCAGCUAAGGUCCCAAAGUCAUGGUUAAGUGGGAAACGAUGUGGGAAGGCCCAGACAGCCAGGAUGUUGGCUUAGAAGCAGCCAUCAUUUAAAGAAAGCGUAAUAGCUCACUGGUCGAGUCGGCCUGCGCGGAAGAUGUAACGGGGCUAAACCAUGCACCGAAGCUGCGGCAGCGACGCUUAUGCGUUGUUGGGUAGGGGAGCGUUCUGUAAGCCUGCGAAGGUGUGCUGUGAGGCAUGCUGGAGGUAUCAGAAGUGCGAAUGCUGACAUAAGUAACGAUAAAGCGGGUGAAAAGCCCGCUCGCCGGAAGACCAAGGGUUCCUGUCCAACGUUAAUCGGGGCAGGGUGAGUCGACCCCUAAGGCGAGGCCGAAAGGCGUAGUCGAUGGGAAACAGGUUAAUAUUCCUGUACUUGGUGUUACUGCGAAGGGGGGACGGAGAAGGCUAUGUUGGCCGGGCGACGGUUGUCCCGGUUUAAGCGUGUAGGCUGGUUUUCCAGGCAAAUCCGGAAAAUCAAGGCUGAGGCGUGAUGACGAGGCACUACGGUGCUGAAGCAACAAAUGCCCUGCUUCCAGGAAAAGCCUCUAAGCAUCAGGUAACAUCAAAUCGUACCCCAAACCGACACAGGUGGUCAGGUAGAGAAUACCAAGGCGCUUGAGAGAACUCGGGUGAAGGAACUAGGCAAAAUGGUGCCGUAACUUCGGGAGAAGGCACGCUGAUAUGUAGGUGAAGUCCCUCGCGGAUGGAGCUGAAAUCAGUCGAAGAUACCAGCUGGCUGCAACUGUUUAUUAAAAACACAGCACUGUGCAAACACGAAAGUGGACGUAUACGGUGUGACGCCUGCCCGGUGCCGGAAGGUUAAUUGAUGGGGUUAGCGCAAGCGAAGCUCUUGAUCGAAGCCCCGGUAAACGGCGGCCGUAACUAUAACGGUCCUAAGGUAGCGAAAUUCCUUGUCGGGUAAGUUCCGACCUGCACGAAUGGCGUAAUGAUGGCCAGGCUGUCUCCACCCGAGACUCAGUGAAAUUGAACUCGCUGUGAAGAUGCAGUGUACCCGCGGCAAGACGGAAAGACCCCGUGAACCUUUACUAUAGCUUGACACUGAACAUUGAGCCUUGAUGUGUAGGAUAGGUGGGAGGCUUUGAAGUGUGGACGCCAGUCUGCAUGGAGCCGACCUUGAAAUACCACCCUUUAAUGUUUGAUGUUCUAACGUGGACCCGUAAUCCGGGUUGCGGACAGUGUCUGGUGGGUAGUUUGACUGGGGCGGUCUCCUCCUAAAGAGUAACGGAGGAGCACGAAGGUUGGCUAAUCCUGGUCGGACAUCAGGAGGUUAGUGCAAUGGCAUAAGCCAGCUUGACUGCGAGCGUGACGGCGCGAGCAGGUGCGAAAGCAGGUCAUAGUGAUCCGGUGGUUCUGAAUGGAAGGGCCAUCGCUCAACGGAUAAAAGGUACUCCGGGGAUAACAGGCUGAUACCGCCCAAGAGUUCAUAUCGACGGCGGUGUUUGGCACCUCGAUGUCGGCUCAUCACAUCCUGGGGCUGAAGUAGGUCCCAAGGGUAUGGCUGUUCGCCAUUUAAAGUGGUACGCGAGCUGGGUUUAGAACGUCGUGAGACAGUUCGGUCCCUAUCUGCCGUGGGCGCUGGAGAACUGAGGGGGGCUGCUCCUAGUACGAGAGGACCGGAGUGGACGCAUCACUGGUGUUCGGGUUGUCAUGCCAAUGGCACUGCCCGGUAGCUAAAUGCGGAAGAGAUAAGUGCUGAAAGCAUCUAAGCACGAAACUUGCCCCGAGAUGAGUUCUCCCUGACCCUUUAAGGGUCCUGAAGGAACGUUGAAGACGACGACGUUGAUAGGCCGGGUGUGUAAGCGCAGCGAUGCGUUGAGCUAACCGGUACUAAUGAACCGUGAGGCUUAACCUUACAACGCCGAAGGUGUUU
This 2931-nucleotide ribosomal RNA is filed under the name Escherichia coli. Its description in RNAcentral is "23S ribosomal RNA". It matches the Rfam family "Bacterial large subunit ribosomal RNA". Lineage: Bacteria; Pseudomonadati; Pseudomonadota; Gammaproteobacteria; Enterobacterales; Enterobacteriaceae. The record is from RNAcentral.